UUAGAGUAUCUCAAAACACUUUUCAAAUAAAAUUUUACUACUUAUUUGGAAAGCGACAUCCGCAUUUAAGCCCCAAAAAAUACUUUAAUUAAGAUUUUUUAAAUAAGAAAUGAGUUUCUCUCUUCAAUUUUAUAGAGUUGUUUUCUUCAUCUUCAAUUUAUAUUUUAUUAUUUUUUAUUGGAGAGAGAGAGAAGUACUUCAAUUACUAUUUAUUUUUCCAUUGAAAAAUAUUUAUUUGAUUAAAAUAAUAUUAACUUAUUUAUAUUUGAAGAAUCUUUUGAAGAAUAACACAUUUUUUCAUUCUUAAAGAGGUAGUCUUGAAAAACACUCUAAUAUUAAAUCAUACGCAUGAAUGAAUAUGAUGGCCGAGUUAGCUAACCUAGCUAGCUAACAACUAAUGCAAGUGAUGGAAGUAGAAAAAAUAAUUCACAAAAACAAACGAAAUUAAUCAAGGUCAACGAAUAUGGACAACAUUGCAUUGCCUCAUGUCUUAACAUGGAUACCGUGUUAAGCUAAGAGGCGUAUUGACCGGAAAAUUGACAACUAAUUAAACAAGGGCAAUGCUUGACUGUGGCCACCGUCCACCACCACCGCCGUGGCUUAAUAAGUCAUCUCUCAUACAUAAAAUUUGACUGUUAGCCCAUGUGACGUCGUAUUAGUACGAAGCUUCAACGAUAGUACUAUAAUAACAUUAAUCAAUUAAUAAGCUUGCCGCAAAUUCAGCUCUCUCUCUCUUGACUGUGAAAGUUGAAGUUGAAUUAAUCCUUUUUAUACUCCUUGUUUUAUUAAUUAUUUAAUAUAUAUCAAAUAGCUGUGGAGAUAGUUGACAUUUUGUUUGUGUGUGUCUGCGUAAUUGUGAGCUAUGAGUUAAUGAGAUUUUUUGAAUAGGUUAAUUAAUUUAAUAUUUUAAAAUGUACAAAAGACUUCUGGGGUCUUGUAAUAGUAUAAUUGGAAGAGAAGUUCAAUGGAGAUUAUUAUGUUCAAGUUUUAUAUAUAAGUAUUAAGAAUAUUAAGGGCUGGCAGAAGGAAAGAGAGAUAUUUGAUCCUUCAAAUUAAGCUGCAGCAAUUUAAAUGGAGGUUUUAUUGAAAAUGCCUUGUGUUGUUAAGGAAGAAAAGAGUGCUGAAUCUAUCAACCAUGAACAUAUUUGCAGCCAAGAAGCUAGAAAGGUACAAAUACAUAUCUAUACUAUCAUCAAAUCCCCUUGUGUGUCGAUGACUUUUUUUUUUUUUUUUAAAUAAAGAGUUGAUCAUGUUUUAGAUGUCGGAUUUAAUUAUGAGAAUUUACGUUUCGAUCUUCAUGAAUUGGAUUUAGAUGGAGGAGUUCUACCAUUUGAUGAUAUAGCAAGUGAAAGUCACUCAGUUUCUUUGAAUCUUGAAUUUGUAGAAGCUGUCAUCAUUCUUUUUUUUCUUCCUUUUGAGUUUCAUGAAGUACUGAAAUAACCAAGGAAAAAUAAACCAAUUAUUAAUAUAUGACUGUUGUUCUUCUAUUUCAGGUGGGAAUUGGAGGACAAAUAUAUGAGGUCAGUGGUCUGAAAUCAUCUUCACCCAGCAGGCAUGAGAAAUUAGCAGCCGACGGGAAAGAGGUACCUAACAAAAUUUACGACUCCUUCCCCCAACCCCCCCACCCCCCGCCAUGGAGUAUAUUUAUUGAACUUACAUCAAAAUUACAUCAAAGAUUACAACUAAUAUACAGAACUAAUAUUUUGGCAAGCUAAAUUGUUUGUUCAUUUAAAUAAACAAAAUUACAUCAAAGAUUACAACUAUAUACAGAACCAAUAUUUUGGCAAGCUAAAUUGUUUGUUCAUUUAUAUAUCAUCUCUUUCUCUCUAUCAUACACAUGCAUACAUAUACAAACACUUGCAUCCACAAACUUUCAAUUUGGCAUUCUUUUGCUAUUAGCGAGAUGUUUCAUAUGUAGACAUAGCUCAUGUGCAUUAUGCAUGAAUAAUAAAUUAAUUAUAUAAUAUAUGUAUGUUCGUCGAGAAGAAUUCUAAUUGUUGUGGCGAAUAACUUCAUCACUUUUGUUUGCUGCAUAUGUGCGCGCAAUCUUGGGCGCGUUAGGUAGAUCUGAAUGUUCAUGAUUUCUAUUCCCAAUUAAUCUCCAAAUUAAUCAUAAGAUAAUUAAAUAUACUUUUCUUAGGGACCUUAUUUUGGUUAAUUUGUUACAAAUAUUAUAAGAUGGAUGGGGGGAUAUUAAUUUGUUAUUGAUUUUUUUUUUCCAAUUGAUCUUAGGAGGAUGAGCUUGAAUCUGCCAAAGCUGAGAUGGGUGAAGUGAGAGAAGAAAACGAAAGAUUAAAGAAGAUGCUAGAGCAAAUCGAAAAGGAUUACAAGUCUCUCCAAUUGCGCUUCUUUGAUAUCUUGCAAAAAGCUGACCCCGCCAAGAAAUCUACAAAUUCAACUCAAUACUGUUCCCACGAUGGUCAAAUCAUGGAGUCUGAACUUGUGUCACUUUGUCUUGGAAGAAGCAGCAGCCCGGGAGAGGCUAAAAAGGAAGAAAGAACAAGCAAUAAUGCAAGCAAAAGUAGCAGGAAAAAUGGUGAUGAUGAAGAGUUGAAGGCCAGUCUAAAUCUUGCGCUGGACCCAAAAAUUCAACCGUCUCUGGAGCUUGGUGUGUCGAAUCUAAGCCCCGAGAAUAGUUCAGAAGAGACAAAGGAAGAGGAAGCAGGAGAGGCAUGGCCACCAAGUAAGGUUUUGAAGACCAUGAGAGGUAAUGGAGAUGAUGAAGUUUCACCACACAGCAAUGUGAAGAGAGCUAGGGUUUCUGUGAGAGCAAGAUGUGAUGCCCCUACGGUUAGUCUAUCUUUCUUUAAUUUUCAUUGCAGUAAAUAUGUCUAGAUCAUUUUGAGAAUUUUGGCUAAAAGAAUUUUUCAUCCUUUAUACAGUUGAACGAUGGAUGUCAAUGGAGGAAAUAUGGGCAAAAAAUCGCAAAAGGAAACCCAUGUCCACGAGCUUAUUAUCGUUGUACGGUUGCACCAGGAUGUCCUGUAAGAAAACAGGUAUACUUUGUUAUUUCUCGAAAAUUAUUAUAAAAAUGUAAAUAAAAUUUCUUAUUGUUCCUAAUUAAUUAACGUGAGUAUGUAGAUUUUAAACCUUAAACAUCUUACACUAACUUAUGAUUUUCUUUAUCAGUUAAGCUAACUCGUUACGCUACCAUAAUUUUUUUAGGUACAAAGGUGUGCCGAAGACAUGUCUAUAUUAAUCACAACCUAUGAAGGAACACACAGCCACCCACUUCCAGUUUCAGCCACUGCCAUGGCUUCCACUACCUCAGCUGCUGCUUCCAUGCUAUUAUCUGGCUCUUCGACAUCUCAGCCAGGCCUCAGCUCCACAGCCCCAACUACUACUGCUGCCACAGCACCCAAUGGAUUAAACUUCAAUAUUUAUGAUACUUCAAGAACAAAGCCAUUCUACUCCUCAAAUAGUACCUCAGCUUUGUUCCCAACAAUUACCCUGGAUCUUACCAAUCCAUCCAGUUCCUUUUCUCACUUCAACAGGUUCUCUUCAAGUUUUGCUUCAAACCCAAGAUUCCCUUCAACAAAUCUCAACUUUUCUUGUUCCUCAGAAUCCACUUUGUUACCCACACUUUGGGGCAAUGGGUUCCAAGCUUAUGGUCCUUACAAUCAAACUCCAAAUGGGUCCUUGUCAAAUCUUGGAAAAAAUUCCCAAGAACAGUUUUAUCAAUCUUUCAUGGAUAAAAAUCAGAACCAACAAGCUGCAGCUGCUUCUGCUUCUCAACAAGCUUUGACAGAAACCCUAACCAAAGCUAUGACAUCGGACCCUAACUUUCGGUCAGUUAUAGCUGCCGCGAUUUCAACAAUGGUUGGAGGCAAUGCAACAAAUAAUGGGGAUCAAGAAAAUUUUGGUCAGAAUCUGAUGCAGAAUAAUACUCCUCCUAACAAUUCAAUACUGAGCCAAAAUGGGAAAGCUUGCGCAUCAGGCUACUUCAAUGGACUCUCAACUUUGAAUUCUCAGACGGGAAGCAGUAGUUUGCUUCAAUCUUCAUUGCCAUUUCCUAUCUUCAAGAGCAGCCCUACCCCGACGAAUGAUAAUAAUAACAAGGAUCAAAGCAGUUGAUGGGGUUGAUAAUUGACUUUUUGGAUGUGACCGAAGUUUGGGAAUAAGUAAUAAAUAAUAUUGAGAAUGAUCAAAGUGUAUAUAGUUACUUAAUGUUUAUGUAUGGAAUUGAUACAGUCCUGUUCACAUUGUCCGCAAAUGCAACCAGUCGAAUCUGAGCUUGUAGAUUUCUUGCUAAUACAAACCAUUGAUUCUGUAUUAUACAUAUUCAGCGUGCAGUUAAGGUCUAAGUCAACUUUAAAGGAGAGUAGUUCAUAUAUAAAAUGAGCUGACGGUCUUAAAUUAGGGUUUCAAGUGCAAGUACCCACUGACUCGUUACAAUCAAGUAGUCCUGUAAUAUGACCUACAGCUGAGAUAGGAUCUCGUCACAUAUUUGCGGGUUGUUAGUUAGUUUCACUUGGUAAGAUCUCUAGUGUUAAAAAAUAAAGGGAGAAUUCAACUCUGCACGCAUGAUUGGUGAGCUUCCAAUCAUGUGAUGUUUUAAAAAAUAAAAGUAUAAAAAUUAGGGGUCGAAUGCACUAAAUAAAUUUCUGGAACUGGAUUGAUAAUUUCAUCAUCUAAUUUCCUGGAACUGGAUUGAUAGUUUCAUCGUCUGCAGAGCACUUGACGGACAUGAAAAAAUAAAAAAAUAAAAAAAAUAACAAUAAUAAUGAAAAAUAAAAAUUAGGAUUACUUAUUGAUAAAAUGUAAGUCAAUUGACAUCGGAACAUUUUAUUGCAAUGGUUUAUUACUAUUAUAUUAGUAUUAUUACUUUUGCCAAAAAUGUUAAUUUACUAUUUUACAUUACGUUACAAUAUAAAACGUUAAAGAUGUAAGCAACUGACUAACAAUAACGAGGACGCGCACCAAAAUGACCUCAAUUGCACUAUAUAGUCUACUUGUUUUCCAAUUAGAGACAACAGAAAACUCCUGUGAUAUAUUUUAUUUAUCUAAUUAUUCAACAAUACAUUAGGGAACUCCAAAAAAUAAUAUUGAAUAAUGAGACUGAGUCUAUUGCAUGAUUUAUGCAGAAAAUUGUAACUCAAUACUCUUUGAUAUAUAGCACAAUUGUUUACACAAGACAGCUCCCUACAAAAACAAUGGGCUCUGUUCAUCCAACCUCCUGCACUAACCGGUAACAUCCCCAAAAUAAAUCUUUAUGAGAACCUUUUUGCGGCCAAAGUCCUUAAACAUGAAAAAAUAACGGCUAGGCGGGCCGGCAGUCAGUAGCAAUCAUGAAGAAUAGAGUUUCAUAUGAUUCAUACACCGCUGCAACAAAAAUCAUAAAGUUUAAAUGCCAAUAUGUAAUAGAUCAAAAAGUUUACUCUCACGUCAAUUAUCAACACAUAAUCUACGAGCAUAUCACCUUGCCAGUACUGUUGAAAAUGUUGCUCCAUCUUCGAGACAUCUUUCUUCAUGAAACUCUCAAUAGUUGAUGAAAAGCCUCCUGAGGUAUAUCAACAGAACCAACGCGCUUCAUUCGCUUCUUUCCUUCUUUUUGCUUCUCCAAUAGCUUCCUUUUCCUUGUAACAUCUCCACCAUAGCACUUUGCAAGAACAUUCUUUCUCAUAGCCGAAAUCCUAUGAACAGAACAUCAAGGGUUAGCUAACAGUUUGGAAGAAAGAAUUAUCAAAAUUUUAGAAAAAAAAUGACAAAAAACAAUGACAAUCUCUUGCUUUACGAAUGCCAAUGAAAAUUGCAAGAACCGCUAUCUAAAGAAAAUGGUCACAUAUCAAAACUGAUAUAGUGACAUCACUCAAAUAGAAAAGACCAGUAUGAAAAGGUUUCCAUGACUUACGUCUCCCUCGCAAUAACCUUUGAUCCAAUUGCAGCUUGAAUGGUUAUCUCAAACAUUUGCCUGCUCAGAUUCAAAUCACCUGAGGCUACUACAUAAACAAGCAAAUAGACUAUGAAAACUAAUAUAUUAAAUGAAAAGACCUGUCUAUGAAUUUCUUCAGCUUCUCCACCAGUUCACGACCAACACGUUGAGCCUUUAAAUUGUGCACAAUUGUUGCCAUUGCAUCAACAGGUUGACCAUUCAAGAGGAUAUCGAGUUUCACCAUAUCAGCUUGUUGAUAUCUGUUAAUGAGACCCGUCAUGUGUGAAAUGUGGAGAAAUCAUAUCCAAAUAUCCCAUCCAAUCAGAUGAUGUAUAAAUGCUUUCCACAUAAAUAAAAGGAAGUACAAAAGAGAGAGAGAUUACUCUGAAUCCUCAUAAUCGAAUGAUGCAUAACCUGAAGUCAAACUCUUCAAUUCAUUAUAAAAAUCCACAACAAUUUCCCUCAAAGGUAGACAAUACUUCAUAAAUGCCCGCUGGCUGCAUAUAUGAAAAUCAAAUGAUCAGUACUUCAACUGUGAAUCAGUUCAAGGAAGGGUACAUAAAGCUUGCAAAUUAAAUCGCAUACGUAACAAAUGCAGAAACUGACAGUACAAUUUAGUAAUGUAGGGUAUAUAUAUAUUUCAACUACAAGUUUUAUGAUUAGAUCAGAUAUAUGUUCUAUGGAUACCAAGAAUUUAAAUACAAAGUUUAAUUUAUUUUCAUGCUAAAAUCAUCAUGAUCCAGGAGUCAAAAUUACCUGUCAAUAAACAAGUACUCCAACUGCUGUCCUCUUCGCUCGGAGCAAAGUGUAAUCACAGAUCCCACGUACCUUAGGGCAGAAAAAUUUCAUUCUGGAUGAAUAAAUACACUGAUGCAAAAGAACUUACCCAGUAAGGGAGUUGAGGGCUUACUCACUAGGAAUGAUAAUUGUCGCUACCACAGUAGGUUCCCAGCAGGCUGUAACCCGUUUUUUAGGAUUGGAGGGCAAUGAGGCAGGAUUCUGUACUUCUGCUUUACUAAAGAAUGGGUCCAUGUAUCAUUAGGUAAAGCACUUCUUAAACAAUCUUAAAAGCGAUAUACAAGACAUACCUCCCAUCAGAAUACUCAAAUAUAUAAGGCACAGUGGGGACUGUUGAAAUGACAUGAGCUCCAUACUCCUAUCAUAUAUAUUAACAGAGGGGUUCAUGAGAAUAAGCAAUACUUCCAAUAUUAUUAAGCCAAAUACAAGUGUCCAAGUAAAAUUCUAGACAAACAUGGUAAGAUAUGUCGGCAAAAUAAGCAUAAUAACUGAUAUUUUAUUAGUUUUAUCUAACUUUAUUAUUUUUUAAAUGUGAUCCAUCAACAACAAUGAAAAGACACGGUGAAGAAAAUUCCUUAACUACAUAAAGGCAUAUUAAUGUCCACGAUAUUAGGUCCAUAUGUACAUUAAGAAGCUUGUAUGAGUGCUAGAAGAAAACCUAAUUUAGAUGCUGCUGCUAGAAAAUUUGGUGUUGGCUUGGAAAGAAAGGUAAAAAGUUCAUACAGCUGGACCCAACCAAUAUGAAAGCAAAGUUCGUUUAUCUAUUAUAAAGAAACUCCCUCCAAAUGGGAAAAAGAUGAACAUUUCAAAAUGCAAAUAGGCUGUGUUGGUACUGCAUCUUCAUAUUGUAUUUGAGGACUAUGUCAACUGCAAACACAAAAAAGGGGAAAACACCUGUUCAAGUCGUUGAUGAAAAACGUCCAUGUGAAGUAAGCCUAAGAAACCACACCUGUAGUACAACAUGUUAAUUGUUACCAAAAAAUAGAAAACAGGAUACUUAGUCACAAGUUUGAUUUUCACUGUAGUGAGAUGAAUCACUCAGUGGCUGAGGCCAGACCUAAAACCCAGUCCAAGUGCUGUGCUAGUCUCUUUAGUAACAGAGACACUGGCAUCAUUGCACGUGAGUCUCUCUAUUGCAUGGUUGAGCACUUCAAAAUCAGAUCCAUCAGCAGGAUAAAGACCAGAGAACACCAUAUGUUUGGCAGGCUUAAAACCUACAUUUUUGGGGCAUAUAAGAAACCAUGUCAAAGGGAAGGUAUAAGGACCAGUGAAUUCAGAACUACUUAAAUCAAGUAGAAAAUGAAAGGCAAGGACGAUAACAUAACAUGUAGAGCCCUUACAGCUACAACACCGGCAUAUAUUGCACUUUGAAGAAAAUACAGCAGAACAACCAAAAUACUCACCUUUCUACAAACAGAAUUACAAAAACAGAGAAAGAAAACAACCAAAUAGUAAGCCUGCCUCAAACAAAUACUCCAACUAUUAAGGUAGAGAUAAUAUGUUUAUGACUGGCAAGAUCUGCGUGAAAAGGCUAACAGAAUGAAGAUAAUGUUCUGUAGCAGGAAAAAAAGAUGAAUAUAUACCUGGAAGUGGCUCAACAAUGCUUUUAUUGUGAUAGAGAGUAUCACCAAUGCGUGCCUCUUUCGUUGAACGCAUGCCAGUCACAACAUAACCCACUUGUCCAGUAAGAAGAACCCCAGUAGGAGUGAGUUCAGGAUGCAUGAUUCCAACAUCCACAAUUUCAUAAGCUUGGCCAGUUGCAGCCGAUGAGAUCUUAUCUCCUUUGCGCAAAGUUCCAUCAACAACUGCAACAUGGCAUAUUACUCCUUUGUACUCAUCAUAAUAUGAAUCCAACAAAAGCAUACGCAAAGAUGAAUUUAUAAUCCCACGAGGAGGAGGUAUCCGCUCUAUGACUGCAGGAAGGACAUGCUCAAGACCCUGCCCUGUUUUUGCAGAUGUUAAAAGGGCUUCACUAGGGUCAAGAUCAAACAUUGAUUUCAGCUGAGCUUUGACACGAUCAGGAUCAGCAGUAGGCUGAUCAAUUUUGUUUAUGACAGGUAUUAUCGUCAGUUCAGAUUCAAAAGCAAGAUAAAAGUUAGCAACAGUUUGUGCCUGAACACCUUGGGCAGCAUCCACAACCAAAAGAGCACCCUGGCAAGCUGCUAGGGAUCUCGACACCUCAUAGCUGAAAUCUACAUGACCAGGUGUGUCGAUAAGAUUUAGUAGAAAACUUGAGGGAUAAUGAGCUUCACUAGUGCCAGGGCCAUUCAACUCGUUUCUGUAAAACAUAGUAGCUGUCUGUGCUUUAACGGUUAUUCCCCUUUCUCUCUCCACCUAAAAAUAUCCCCACUUCAUCACAUUUACAACAGACAGUAAAUAAAUACCUUCAAUAUAUAUUUUCCCGGACAUAAAUAUAUGCUAUCAUUUUGAGAAGUGUGAAACUAAUGUGAAAUAAAACAAACAGGUUUAGAAAAAGAAUGUGGAUGAAGUAUACAUAGAGGCCAUCAUCUCAAGCUUAUUUAGCGAAGCUUUCUAGUCUUCAUAUUUCCGAGACAAUAACAAUUUCAAACGACAACGAUAUCAAAGAAGCAUACUCUGACAAACUAAAAUGACAAAAACCACAUUGAAUUUACAAAACAAAUCCAUAAACCUAAUGUAAAAUCCAAAAAACACCCACUUUAAAUUGCAUGUUAAAUAAUCUAAUAAAAAAAAUGAAAAAUUCAUCAUUAUACCUGCAAUUUAUCAAGAUACUGAGGCUGCCCAUGCCCUCUUUUGAUAGUGCCAGUGAGUUCCAAAAGCCUGUCAGCGAGCGUUGAUUUUCCAUGGUCAACAUGGGCAAUUAUAGAAAAGUUUCUGAUUCUCUCAGGUGGGUACUGGGUCAAGUCUACAUUUGUAUUAUCUCUGUUGUCAUGUUGGCGAGAAUUUGAAGAAAAUGAACGAGUUGAGUCAAGCAAACAACGGUGGUUUUGGCAGUGGCUGAAUCUAAAAUUUAUUGGAUUGGUUUUAGCGAUUGAGGAGAGUAUAAAGUGAGAUUUUUUAAGGGUUUUAGAGGCUCCGUAUAUAGACCCCAUUUGAAGGGUUUUAGCAGAAGAUGUGCUGCCGUAGCCAAAUUGUUUCGAGAAAGCGCUUCAGAAAUUAGCGUGCCAAUUGCGCCCGGUACACCUCCAUACUUCAAAAAUUAUCUCAAUACCCUAAAAUUUGUUUUUGCCAAAAUUUUCAUUGAUACCCUUUAAAGACUCAUAAAAAAUUACUAAUCUAUCCUCAUUUUAAAAUAUUUCAAUUCAACGGACAGCUCCUCUCCCUUCUCUACUGAAGCAAACAAACACUCAUCUGCUGCAAUUCUCUCCAUUAUCAAACUCAAACAAACAAACACUGUAAUUCCCUCACCGGCAUCACCUCUACCGAAAACAAACAUUCAUUCUCCAUACAUGGUAAAUCAAACUUCAACACGAGCAAACUAAGCCUGAGAAGGGGAAGCUGCCACAACUAAGAAAGUGAAGCAUAGUUCGUCACUACAUAAUCGCCGGAGAGAGUUGAACAUUUACUGUAAAAUUAUCAGAUUGUAACUAGUUGAGACAAGUAAUUCCAUGUAAUUAGUUUUCUUGUUAAUAUUCAAGGGAAAAAAACAAAAAGNNNNNNNNNNNNNNNNNNNNNNNNNNNNNNNNNNNNNNNNNNNNNNNNNNNNNNNNNNNNNNNNNNNNNNNNNNNNNNNNNNNNNNNNNNNNNNNNNNNNNNNNNNNNNNNNNNNNNNNNNNNNNNNNNNNNNNNNNNNNNNNNNNNNNNNNNNNNNNNNNNNNNNNNNNNNNNNNNNNNNNNNNNNNNNNNNNNNNNNNNNNNNNNNNNNNNNNNNNNNNNNNNNNNNNNNNNNNNNNNNNNNNNNNNNNNNNNNNNNNNNNNNNNNNNNNNNNNNNNNNNNNNNNNNNNNNNNNNNNNNNNNNNNNNNNNNNNNNNNNNNNNNNNNNNNNNNNNNNNNNNNNNNNNNNNNNNNNNNNNNNNNNNNNNNNNNNNNNNNNNNNNNNNNNNNNNNNNNNNNNNNNNNNNNNNNNNNNNNNNNNNNNNNNNNNNNNNNNNNNNNNNNNNNNNNNNNNNNNNNNNNNNNNNNNNNNNNNNNNNNNNNNNNNNNNNNNNNNNNNNNNNNNNNNNNNNNNNNNNNNNNNNNNNNNNNNNNNNNNNNNNNNNNNNNNNNNNNNNNNNNNNNNNNNNNNNNNNNNNNNNNNNNNNNNNNNNNNNNNNNNNNNNNNNNNNNNNNNNNNNNNNNNNNNNNNNNNNNNNNNNNNNNNNNNNNNNNNNNNNNNNNNNNNNNNNNNNNNNNNNNNNNNNNNNNNNNNNNNNNNNNNNNNNNNNNNNNNNNNNNNNNNNNNNNNNNNNNNNNNNNNNNNNNNNNNNNNNNNNNNNNNNNNNNNNNNNNNNNNNNNNNNNNNNNNNNNNNNNNNNNNNNNNNNNNNNNNNNNNNNNNNNNNNNNNNNNNNNNNNNNNNNNNNNNNNNNNNNNNNNNNNNNNNNNNNNNNNNNNNNNNNNNNNNNNNNNNNNNNNNNNNNNNNNNNNNNNNNNNNNNNNNNNNNNNNNNNNNNNNNNNNNNNNNNNNNNNNNNNNNNNNNNNNNNNNNNNNNNNNNNNNNNNNNNNNNNNNNNNNNNNNNNNNNNNNNNNNNNNNNNNNNNNNNNNNNNNNNNNNNNNNNNNNNNNNNNNNNNNNNNNNNNNNNNNNNNNNNNNNNNNNNNNNNNNNNNNNNNNNNNNNNNNNNNACGAAUUUUUCCAUUAAUCAUUAGAUUAAUUUAGUUCUUUAAAUACUUAAUUUGUGCUAAGAAUUUAUAUUUGCUGCUAUGCAGAAAAUGUCAAUGAAAAUUAUUAAAAAAAAGAAGUGAAAUUAAAUUGGAAUCUAAAAAAAUUCCACAUCAUCAUUGGUUUGAAUUGCAACUGGUGGCAUAGGAUCAGAUGUCUUAAGUUUGAACUUCAUUGUGAUUUCGAAUUCCGAAGUAUCUAUAUCAAUAACUUCAGCUAUCUUCUCCACCAAUUCGGCAUAUGUUGUCGAUCGUGGUAUCAUUAUCCCUUUAGCCUUUGAACCUUUGAACUUAUACUCGUCAUUUUACUCAAUCCAUUCACCAUUGAAGAUAAUAUGCACACGUACCAAAACCAUAUCUGAUGAUACAAUAAAAACAAUAAUAUUAAAUUUCAUAUACAAGUAACCACACGACCUACACGACUAUAUUACUUACACGAUUUACACGACUUACACGACUAUAUUUCUUACAUGACCUACACGACUAUAUUUCUUACAUGACCUACAUGACUAUAUUUCUUACGUGACCUACACGACCUACACGACUUACACGACCUACACGACUUACACGACUAUAUUACUUACACGACCUACAUGACUAACUAUAUGACGUACACGGUAUCAAAAGAAUGCACGACUCGAAAUAUUUUGGCCAUAAAUAAGUUAUAUUGCUGAAAAAAAUAAUUAAACAACCUACAUCGCAUAUAUUUCUAUGUAUAAGAAAAAAUGGUGAAAAUAAAACAUUGUAAUGUGAGGAAAAUUUCUAAAUUUUCCUAAAAAUUAACAAAUUUAAAACCCAACAACAUUAACAUACCUUAUUGGGUUGUUUAAUAAGCAAUGCACCUUUAAAGAAAGAGUGGGUGUUAAAAAAAUGAAUACAUAAUUGUAUUUGUGUAAGAAGUUAUGAGAGAUUUUGAGAGAUUCUAAGAGAUUUUAAAAGAAUCGACAGCAAAAAUAGAUUUUGGUGAAAGAAAUGAGGAAAAAAAUAUGAAGACAAUUCAUUGAGUGAAUUUGAUGCAUUCAUUAAGGGUAUUUCCGACUUUGCUCACAUUUGUUAGGGUAUCCAUGAAAACAAAAAAGAGAGGGGGUAUUUAAAUAAUUUUGAAACUAUUAAAGGGUAUUUAAUUAAAAACCCCGAAAUUAGCAGCGUUUGGUUUGCUCUUCUUAAACGACAUCGUUUACAACUGAAUAAAGACUUAUGUCGAAAUUACCAAAGAUAACCCCGUAAUGUUAAAUAAUACUAAAUAUGCGCAUAACGUUUACAAAAUCUCUCAAAUUCAUCCUUCUCAUGGCAUCAUAAAUCAGGUAACUGAUAGUACACACAUCUCGAGGAUGAGGCCUUGAGGGUACGAAAAAACCUUUGUUGUCGAUUGUCAGAUGCUGGGACCAGCCAUUAGCGCAAUUUCAAGUUCUACACAAAAGGACAAGAAUGAAAAAGAAGCAGAGCAAUCGUAGUACGAUGAGAAAUGACGUGACUCCACUACAAUACAUGCAAUACAGAGCCAACUUGAAGCUUCAGUUUCUCUUCCCACUCUCUUUCCAAUUUCCUGUCUCUGGCACUUAGCUGUUUCUUCUCAGCUGGUGAUUGCUUAACAGAUCCAGUAAGUUACUUAAACUUCUGUCGAGAACAAUUUUGUAUAUGGGACCAAACAUUGUGUGUUUUAUUCUCUAGUUCUCGUUCGAAGUGACAAAAAAAGUUCAAAAAAUCCAACUAGGCUUGCUUGAUGCUUGAUAUAGAGCUAGGAAUGAAACUAGUGUUAGAUUAUCCAGUUGAGUAAUAAUUUCGUAUGGCCAAGCCCAAGAAUAUGGACGAUCUGUUAAUUUACCAGAUAUGUUAAUUGAUUGUGUAUUAGGUAUAUGGAGGGGUUACCAAAGGUUGUUUUUUUUUUUAAUUAAAAAAUCUGUUCUUUUUCAUUUUAGAAGUUGCUGUUGGAAGCGCUAGUCCUUGAUUUGUUGGAAACGUAAAUAUUUUAGUUAAUGUGACUUGAUCAUAAUUUAUAACAAUUCUUUUACUAAGCUGGUACUCUGCCGUGAUAGUUUGGAAAUCUGGACUUCGAAUAAGUUGGAUCAAGUAAUCAACCUUCUUUCAAGUAAUCAACCUUCAAAUAUUUGAAAGAAGAUCCUCCCCUCAUAAUUCAAAUGUACCCAGGAGACUUGAACCUCCUAUAGCACCCUACUAAUGGAUGGUUUCUUUACCAUAGUCUUUUCCUAGCAUAUUUUACAACACUUGCUUCACUUAGCAAGCAUGAGAAUUAUUGAUUGAUGGUUCAUUUGCUAGUGUCUCAGUUUUCAUUAAAUGGGUACCAUGAGUGGGUAAAGAUUGGUUUUUAUAUAUCAUAUAUUUGAAUGGGUGAAUCUUGAUUGAUUUUUCAGUUUGGUUAUUCUUAGUGUAGGUGGUGGGCUGAAAUGUCAACUACAGCAGUGGAUGAGGGAUCUCAAGAGGCUUCAACAGGGUGCACCUCCUGGUGAUGACGAUAUUAUGCUUUGGAACGCUAUUAUUGUUGGGUAUUUUGCCAAUGUUCUAUGUUUCCUGCCAACAAUGUAGUGGCUCUUGACGUCUUCUCUAUUUUCUCUCAAGGCGUGUGUUUCUUUUCUGAUUGUCAUUUUAUAAGAGAAUAUUUUAGUUUAUAUUUUCACAAUCUCUAUUGAUUGCUUUCCUUGUUUGUGUUGUAGCCUUGGUGGGACUCUUUUUGACGGAGGUGAGUUUAAAAUUCUGAAUAAGUGUAUGCUAACUUGAGCUGUGCAUUACAAUUGCCUAAUAUAAUCAUUGAGUUUAAUCCGGCGCUCCUACAAUUACUGUUUCUGACACGCUGAAAUGGGUUAAGUUGUAAAUGCUGAACUGAUGUGUAUGUUUAGGCAUUUAUAUCUGCGGAUAUUGCUAUACAUACCUAUGGCUGCACAGAACUUAUUAGAAACCAUUCUCUGAAAUCAUCUUGUUUCAGAUGAUAAUUGCUUAUAUUUGAAACAUAUUUGCAAAAUAAAUGACAGCUAUUCUAGAACUUUGUUCCAGGAAAAGAGUUCUAUUGCAUUUCCUUCUGCCACAAGAAAUAGCUAGUACUGCACUUCUAGUGUGAUAUCAUUGCCUAAAAGUUAUUAGAAUAAUAAGCAUAUUUUACUGUUGCCACUUCUAUUGACAAUAUAGUCAUAAAUCCCUCUUGAGGUUUUGGCAGGUAUAUUUAAGUUGACUCUUAAGUUUACUAAGGAAUAUCCUGUCAAGCCUCCUGUGGUUCCAUUUGUUUCCGGAAUGUUCCACCGUAACGGUAAGUUGAGCUAAAUUCCUGUUAGUUCCUCCUUCUCCUCUUUUUCCCAUAUGAUCUAUUUAACCUUCUUAUGUGGAAGGAGAGGGAAAAAAAAGAGCAAGCUUUAGGAUUCAAUUGUAUUAUUUUUAAUUAUAUGGUUGAAUGCUGAUCCUCUUAUGAAUCAUAUGAUGUACAAAAUUUGUAGUGUUUUACUGCUUACUUUCCAGAAUUAAUUUCUCCCUUUUUUUUCUUUUUCAAUCACUAUAUUAGUCAAGUUCCAAGUUUUAAUCCAUGCAUCUUUUGGCAUUUAUUUAUAAUGUUCAAUGUUUUUUGUUUAAGUUGACUCCAUAAUCAUAUUAGAUGUUUAAAAAUUUAGGAUUUGUAAGUGAUCUUGCUAAAGUUGCUGUCAGGCUUCUAAAAUUCUAUGGGAAAAUAUUAUUUGAGGCUUUUAUUUUGACAUCAAUAAGAAUCACCUAUUCUUCUGUAGCAUGUAUCUUGGUCUAUUUUUAUUUUGUUCUGUUCUUUCUGGGAAAUGUCAUCUUUAAGGAGUUUUGUCCUUUCUGAUCUCUUAUACUGUUGCGUUGCUCCUUACCAGUUUUUGGAGAUGGAAGCAUCUGUUUGGAUAUAACAUAUAAGACUUGAAGUGGAAUCAUGAUUACAAUGUAGUUUCCAUUCUUGCAACAAUUCAGGUAAUCAUAGGUCUACUUAUAAAAUUUUAUAAAAAAAUUUGCUAACUCUGUUCAUCCUGAAGUCAAUGGAAAUGUCCUUGUACUGUAAGUAAUGUCAGGAGUAGCAAAAAACAUUUAAAUUUGGUAAAAAAGUUCUUGCAGUUGAUGCUGGGUGAUCCAAACCUGUACUCAGCUGCAAAUCAACAGGCUGCAACGAUGCUCAUUGGCAGAAGAAUUGACUAUUACAAGAAAACACAGCGAAUUGUUGAGUUGAGCUGGAAAGCAAUCUGAUGAUGCAUUCUUUGUCUCAGCUGUUAUUGGUGGCUCUUCAGCCAAACUGAGUCACAGGCUAACUCUUUCUCCAAAUAACAUGUUGGCCCAACUGUGUGACAGGUUGAUGGCUUUGAUUAUGUAACUAAGAUCAUAUUUUCUUUUUAACAUCAUUAUCUAAUCGCAAUGGUAAUAUAAACAUUAUAACUGCAUUGUUGAGUUCAUGUAAAUAAUCUCUUGUAUGAAAUUUGUGUAGAACCUUAGCAACUUCAGGCCUCAUUUAGAGGGUUGUUUAUAUUAAAUUAUUAAUCAUAGGCAAGAGUUCUGAUCUGUAAUAUAUUUGAUUGUGAUCCGUAGCAUCAGUUAUUUUGGUGACCAUUUGAACAUAUUUUAGAGAGCUGACAUGUAAUUAGUUCUUAACACAUUUGAUUAGAAGAGACUUAAUACCACUGGGAAUAAUCAGAACAUUUGAACAAGGAAUUAAUUACUUACGAUGUGAGGGACCAGAAAUCAUCAGCCUUAUUUUCAUAUGUAUUAUUGAUUAUGUUAUUGCCGACUGGAAUCAAAAUGUAAUUAGUGCUUGUGUGUCUAAAAUUCGAGGUGGUUUUUUAGACACAGAAAGCAUAUAGUGAGGUUCCAGAAGUGAAGUUCUUGUUACCAAAUCCGACAGUAACCUUGUACCCAUUACCCAUAUAGAUGCAUCCAUUGCUUACUGAAGCACCACCAUAAAUCGUUGCUCCAGUAUGAUACGACCACAAGAUUUUUCCUGUCUUGACAUCCAUUGCAUAGAUUGGUCCUUGUCGGUAUGUAGAUCCGCCAAACAGGACACCAUUGGCGACAGUAACUGGUCCGGGGGCAGUACCAUUGCUAGGAUCAGCUGUAGACCAUAGGACAUUUCCAUUGCUAGCAUCCAUCGCCACCCAUCCACCAGCAAUAGUGGAGUUCUUGGAUGGCUUGAGAGUGAAGUUUUUGUGUUGGCUGUUGGCAAUGUUGGAGUAGAUUCUUCUCUCAUCUGUGGCCGCACCCCACAUUGCCCCGCCACCUAGGCCUCCCGGUCCAGCCUCCUACAGUUGUAAGUCUUUUGUUUAGGAAAAAAAAAAAAUUGCAAUACACAAACGCAAGACCUCAUAUCAAAACCGUUCUUCAAAGUGAGUCUGAACUUACAAUAGACCAAAUGAGGCUGCCAUUAUCACGAUCUAGAGCCCAAGCAAAGCCGCUUUUCUGAACAGCAACAACAAUAUCAUGCUUCACUUUAUUUAGAUACAUGCUCAACAUCAUUGGCGCCUCUCCAAAAUCAGCAUCAGGGCUAGGUCCAGGUGGGCAAUUUGGAUUCAAUUGCCAGUUACAGGCACCAAACCACACAUCAUAUCCCCCCAACUGCUUAUACCACACAAUUUUUCCAGUGUCUAAAUCAAGUGCCAGGAGAGAAUUUGAGUGAUUUUCAGGUUCGAUACACUUGUCUGGACUUGUUGGUGUUGUUUGAUUGUUUUCUUCUUGGCAUUGGCGUAUAUGCAGUGGAACUGAAUAGAGGUUCCCUGUGGCAAUGUAAACAUGGUUUCUAAUGGGGUCAAUUGACGGACUGCUUCCCCAAAUGGCUGCUCCAGCAUAUUCGUUAAGCUUGCCAAAAUUGUCCGGCAGCAUGAAGGUUUGCCACAGGAUCCUGCCGGUCUUGGCAUCUAAUUUGGCUAGACUGCCCUGGAAAGUGCAGCAUAGCUCGAAGGUUAGGCCUUCUUCUAUUGAUGAUGUUCCAACAUAGUAAGCCCUGAGGCAAAGCCAGUAAAUGCGAAAUAAUUAAAACCAAAAUCUUGUACUUCAUUGAAUUUCUAUUUUUGUCUUGAAUCAAUAAUUUGUACAUUCACGUGAAUGUCUACACAUUUUAAAAUGUAGAUUUGGACUAUGUGGUGGGAACUAGCUAUAAUUUAAUAUUAAAAUAUAUCUAAAAUUCGUAUCUUUAAACAUUAAUUUUGUAUUUUGGAUACAGCUGGACAUGGAAAUCAGGAACAAUUCUGUAUAGUUGAAGUUAUCUUUGCAUUGGCAAGACAACAUGUAAGACAAAACACAAUUUGAAGACCGAUAAUGUCCAGAUCUAAUAAUCAUAUAAAUAUUACAUAUUAAAAGUCAUGUUGUCCACAGGCCUGACAAUUUCUAUUAAUAUAAAGAAUUUAGCUAAUAAAUCUUGAGACAAACAAAGACUGACAUUAUGUAAUUGGCACAAGUUAAAUAUAAUAAAAUUUCCUGGGUCUGCUAUCUGUGAACCACAAGAUUUUACUUAGAAGUUAUAAACUUCUUAAAAGGUUAACAAUCUUUUAGACAAAUGAACCACUUAACUUGAGACAGAAAAUUUUCCUGGAUAUUUUCUCAAAGAAAGUUUGCUUUCUAAAAUAGAGUAUAGGUUGAGUGGCUGUAUGUAUGCAAUGACUUCUAACUGCAACUGCGGAAUCAAAUCACUAAGCAAAAGUUAGUUCAGUUUCUGGGCUUUCAUAGUUAAGCUGAAGCUUCGAAUUGUUAAUGAGGUAUCUCUAUGCUAAACAUUAAAGGACAAACAUUAAGAGUAAGCGAAAAUGGCAAAAACUAACUCUUUGUAAUAAGUUCCAGACAUGGUUAUAAAACUUCGUGCAUGAUCAUCGAGCAUGGUCUUCCAAACAAGCUUCCCAUUUGAUCUUCUCACAGCAACUACAACGGCAGGUCCCCAGAGUCCAAAAAUAAGCAAAUUUCCAGCAACUGUUGGUGUUGAUCUUGACACUGUUGAGUUGACAUUGAGAGUGAAACCAGGGUUGCUAAUCCCUGUCAAGUUUUGUAAGUUCUGCUUCCAAAUAAGAGAUCCAUCAGCUGCUUUAACUGCAUAGAGGUAGCCAUUCCAGCUUGGAAAGUAAAGGGUGUUGUUGAAAAUUGCUGGAGUUACACUAAUGUCACAUCCUGCAUAGAACUUCCACUUUAAAUUUAGCUUGGAGACAGUUGCUGGACUGAUCUUUUUCUCCUUGUUUGCAUAUCUCCUGUUGUAUAAAUCUCCUCCAUGAUUUACCCAAUUUUGUUCAGUAUUUUGUGUGUUGCCCUGCAAAUAUAGAGUCAAACAUCAAAAUUUAUCCAUGUUAAUUGUGUCAUGUGUAGUGAGUGUGCAUGAGGGAGAGAAUUUACAGCAGAAUCUGUGGAAGUUGUGAAGGAGAGUAAACAGAAGAUGCUUAGAGGAACGAUAAUAUUAUUGUUCUGGCGUUUAGGAAGCGCCAUUGAAAUGGGUCCUUGAAAAUGCUUAUUGCUGUAGGAGGCUUCUGUCAAGAUGCUUAAAAAAAAAUUUCAUUUGGAGGGAUUUAGUGGCUUUUUAACUUACUAUUAAUUUGACAGGCUACCACCUCCACGCAAGACAAACAAAUUAAUUUUUAUUUAUUAGAAGUAAAUAUGUAUACCUUGAUUAAAUCAAUACUGAAUUUGUCUAAAAACAAAGCAUAUUCAAUUGUCAACCGUUUGAAGAUCUCUUAAAAAUACUAGUAAGACGAGAAGGCAUUUUAAACUUGUGAGCGUCUGCACCUACAAAUGCGAAUUUAUCUAUCUAUAAUUCAAUACCAACACAGCUCAUUAAAUGUAACUUUUUUGCGCAUUCUUUCAUUCAAGGAGUUUCUAUGUUGGUACAUCAUCUCUAGAAGAAGGCCUAAGCAUUGCACUUUGUGCGGCCGCCUCUUGAAAUUACAUGUCAAAUCUGAUGCAGUCUUGCGGCAAACUUACAUGCUGCCUGAUAACAAAGGCAAGAGAGGAGCAUACGCUGGAGCAGCAAUCUGGGGAAGCAGCCCAUCAAUUGAUACUCGCAGAAAUCACAUUUACAUUGCCACUGGCAACUUAUACUAGGCUCCUCACACGACAGAAUGCCAGGAAAAACAAAAUCAUCAAACAGUAUCCACUAGUCCUACUAAUGAAUGUGUAGAGCUUGAGAAUCGUUCAGAUUCAAUCCUGGCAUUGGACGUGGACACGGGCAAGAUCCAAUGGUACCAUUAAGUUGGCGGCUACGGUGUAUUCUUUAUUGAAUGUUUCAAUCUUUCAACCCCUGGUUGCCCUCCUGGCCCUAACCCUCAUGUUAAUGGAACUUGGAAAGAUAUUAUUGUUGCUGUGCCAAAAAGUGGAUUUGCUUGGGCUCUUGAUCGUGAUAAAGGCAGUCUCAUUUGAAAUAUAUAUAUAGUCCUUAUAUUUUGAACUUGCUUCACUUGAAUUAAAUUUUUGACUACGUACCUGUUGCAUCUGUACAAGCAAACAGGGAAUAACUCCUACAAUUUAUAUAUACAUCAUCUUAUUGAAUUUGUAGGAGGCUGGAACUAGCGGCCCUGGCGGAAAGGGUAUUUGGGGCGCAGUUACUGAUGAAAAAAGGAUCUAUAUCAAUAUUGCCAACUUUGAAGAAAAGAAUUUCGUUCUCACCCAAUCCAAGAAGAACACAAGCCGGUGGCUGAGUGUGCAAUCGAUGCUCGCGACGGCAAAAUCCUAUAGUCCGUACCAAAUCCAAGUACUUUUACAGUUUAUGGGCCUGUCGGUGUGGCUAAUGAUGUGGUUUUUGCUGGAUCAACACAUCCUGAAGGACCAAUAUAUGCAAUGGAUGCCAAAACUGGUAAAAACCUGUGGUUAUAUGAAACUAGAGCUGCAGUUUAUGGUGGGAUGUCCGUGAGUGGUGGAUGCAUAUAUCUUAGUAAUGGAUAUACAGUUAGUCUUUCAUGCUGCCAGUCCUUCAUCCACUGCUGGAACCUCACUCUUUUCGUUUUGUGUGUGACUGCUAUGUCAUAUUUACAAACACAAAACGAAUUGUGAUCCACUGCCUUAUAACAUAGAACAAUAAAGAUAUGCGUAAGUGUACUGUAUGUUAUUCGUGAUGGCAUUUUACUUGUUAUUCGUGAUGACAUUUUACUUAUUACUGAGAAUAAAUUUACAUUAUAAAUUUGACUAUCAUGUGAUAGCGUGUGGUCAUUAAUUAGCUGCCCUUGAUGGUCCGUGUACGUUAGGCUUAUAGAAAUUUAUAUUAAUUGUUACAUGGGCUGUAACAAAAAACAGUCUUAUAUAUCAAGUUACAAUAUAAUAUAUGGGAUCCAUAAAUUUAAACCAAAGAACUUUAAUUUCACAGAAAUUGCCUUCAACCAAUUCAAAAGCAAAUAAGGCAAAACCGUCAAAAGACCAAAGACUUGUCCGAAAAAGACCAAACUGUUUACAUGUUCAAUUUAACCCACAAUUCUCUCUUUUUCUAUAUUUAUAAUCCCAUAUAUAUAUAUAUAUAUAUUCAGCAAUCAAGUUCAAAGUAGCGUAUAUUUGUAUGCUUGCUUAUGUGAUAAGUUUAUAGACAGAUCUGUCGCUGAAUACUUGUUGGUUUUAGUUGUAGAUUAUUUUAUUUAUCAACAUUUGAACGCCAAUUCGUGUUAAGUUUUAAAGCUUAACAGAUGUGUUUUUCUCUUUACUACACUCAUUAGGCCUCUUAAACAAAUAGUCUGGGCCUUACAGACCUCCAAGGCCCAUAUCUUCAUCUUUAACAAUUUUUACUCAAUUCUACAAUUCCAGAAUCCUGAGUUCCAAAAUCGACCUAAAAUCUUUUGACCUUGAUUAGUUUAUGCUUUGUGUGUAAAAGUGUUGUUUUGAAUAAGAAUGAUGGAUUAAAAAUGUAUGGAUGUUACUCAUAUGCCUUCACAGCAUUAUUAUCUAUUGAAUUGAAAAUUAUAUUAAAAAAUGAUAAAUAAAUGACAAAUUAAGGGGAUGACAACAUUUAUUAUAUACCUCGAUAAAUAAAUAAUUCUUGUUUGUUAAGUUUAUGGAUUGCAAAUAGAAACCAAAAAAGACAAAAAAAAAAUGGGGUUAUUGAUUGUUACAAAGGCUCACAUGUUUCAUUUACCAAGAUUUAUUGAGAUUUAAAGAUUUUUAUAAAUAACUAUACAAAACUUCGCCUUGAGCAAGUCAAAAGCACUAUAAGACAUGUCCGAAAAAGACCAAGCAGUUCAGAAAUCAUAUCUUUAUUGGAUAAACUCGUCAUCAUUUUCAAUGGACGCCCAUAAUUCUCUUAUUUACUAUUUUUGUAUUGCUGUAUUCAGCAACCCUUAUAAAUAAAUCCACCGCGACAUGUUCCUAUAGAGGCAUCUGUUUCUGCAAUAAAAAUGGCGAGACUCUAUUUGUCUUUGUGUUUUGUCGCUUUAGUUGCUAUCGGGUUCAUUGUUAAUGGCUCUGUAGCUGAUGAGGAUAAGAAGAAUGAAUGUGACAAAAACAAUUCUGAGGAGGUUAAAUUUUAUGAACUCAAGAAAGGAGAUUUCUCCGUUAAGUUUACCAACUGGGGUGCCACUAUUGUUUCUGUUUUUCUCCCUGACAAGGAUGGUAUGAUUUGUUUCAUUGUUUAAUUUGUGGGGGGUUUUUGUCCAUUUUUUUUAAUUGAUUGUCAAGUUUUGUUUUGGAUUUUUACAUUUUCUGAGUUUGUUUUAUUUUUGUUGUUUUUCAGGUAAGGUAGAUGACGUUGUACUUGGAUAUGAUUCAGUCGAUGAUUACAAGGUAAUUUUCUUUUCCCCCUCAUUUUGGAGAUACUUUUGAAAAUCAGAAAUUUUGCAUUGGAGAGCCUAUGGCCAUAGCCCAUAUGUGACAAAAGAGUCUAUAGCUAAUUUUUCCUGUGUUAUUUGUCCUAUGCAUCCAUCAUAUAUAUAUAUUUUUAUAGGGUAGUGAUAACCUCCACUUUUAGUUUAAUUUAUUUUAAUUACAGGAUUAUCUUUAUUAAAAAAUAAUUAUUUAUCAUUUUAUCUUCUCUCACAUCUCUCUCUCAAACAUCAGCAUCCCCGUCACCUAUUUCUAUUACCACCAAAUUCACCAUCACCGUCAAUUAGAGGUUGUUCUUAUGAAUCUAAAGUGCUGUAAUUGCAUUAAGAUAAUGUAUUCCAUAACUGAAGAAACUUAACUUCAGUAUCUUUGAAUCAAUAAAGAAUGUAAUCUGACUAAUUUUUAUUUUUAUUUCUGUUCUCUGUUGGUUAUAGCCAUGAGAUUAAUUGAUCAUUGUAAUUCACUUCACUUUUUCUCACUUAUGCUUCUAUUGCAUCUCUCAGUUGAGUCUGAAUCCCUCAAUGCACCUUCUCAAGAUCCUUACUAAUGAGUAUUUUACUUUAAUUGAUGCUAUUUGAAUCCAAUUAGAUGAACAUUUUGGAUAUUAACUUUUUGACUUUGGAUCGUGGGGUUAUGGUUUUGCAAUAUCUAGAUAACUGGGUAGUAGUUUUAAUUAUUAUUGUUAGUAGAUGUGAUUUUUCUGGAUCUAAUUAUUUUGUAAUCUUAAAUUGAUUGUUUGAUUUUUUUUUAAUUAAAAACGUUGUGUUUUGUAAUUUUAACUUGGUGGUAAUGGUGAUCACGAACUUAGAGCUAAUGAAGAUAAAUGGUGGGGAUGAAGAUUAUGCUUGACAGAGAAAAUAAUAAUUAUUUCUAAUGAGGGUAAUUUAAGAAAUUAGUUAAGUAAAUUGUAAAGUGAAUGUUGAUGAGAUAAAAUGAGUUUGAUCAAUUAUCACUACUCUUUUUUAAAAGAUAUGAUCAGCUGGGGACCUGAGCUUUUGGGCUUAUCAACUUAUUGUUUUAUUCGAAUGGUUUCUAAUUCUUAAUAAUUUUCUCCUUGUAGACUUGUAAAGUCAGACUUUUCUUUGACGUUUGCAUUAUUGACUGUGAUGCACUUGAUUCUCAGUUUCCUUAAAUAAUGUAUUAAUUUUCUUCAAUAGUCUGGUUGGGACUAAGACCAUUUUGUUUGAAUCUUUAAAGUCUAAUGAAAGGACCAUCCAUCCUUCUCCUUUUGUGCUGCUUUUGCAAUUUCCUACAUUUUGAUUCAGAGCUCCCCAUAAUUCCACGAUUUUAUGGUCUUAAUAUUUGUAACGAUGAAUUAUCUUUUUGAUCAUUUUCUAUUGGGAAUAUUUUGCAGAAUGAUACAACCUAUUUCGGUUCUGUUGUUGGACGGGUUGCUAACAGAAUCGGAGGCGCUCAAUUUACUUUAGAUGGAACCCAUUAUAAACUGGUUGCUAAUGAAAAGUCAAACAUGCUUCAUGGUACGUUUCUUGUGUUCACUUGCAUUAUCUGGAUUUUUUCCUGGUAAAAAAGAAAAAUGAAGUUGCUUAUUCUGUAUUUUUAAGAGACAACUUAUAUUUCUUUAGUGAUUUCUUAUAGGUGGCCCGAAAGGCUUUAGUGAUGUAAUCUGGAAAGUAAAGACCUACGAGAAUGAAGGUCCUACUCCUAAGAUUGUCUUCUCCUAUCAUAGCACUGAUGGUGAAGAAGGUCAGUGUAAUUUAAUUUUGAUUUUUAUCAGUGUAAUUUAAUUUUGAUUUUGAUUUUUUCAAAUUUUUGCUCUAAAAUACGUUAUGAAUGUGGUAGAAUGAUAUGUUUUCAUUUGGGUUGGGUGACUUUUGAACAUUCAUAUAUCUGCAACUUUUUGUAGGAUUCCCUGGUGAUCUCGAUGUCACUGUGAGUUACUCUCUCACCGGCGAGAAGGAACUAAGUGUAAAAAUGAAAGCCAAGGCUAGAAACAAGGCUACUCCAGUAAAUCUGGCUCAACACUCAUACUGGAACCUAGGUGGUCACAACAGUGGCGAUAUCCUUUCUCAAGAAGUCCAGAUUUUUGCUUCCAGCUAUACACCUGUUGAUGACCAGCUAAUUCCCACCGGGAAGAUUGAGACCGUUGAAGGAACUCCCUAUGAUUUCCUCCAGCCUCACGCAAUUGGCAGUAGCAUCGACAAGCUUCCUGUUGGCUAUGACAUUAACUAUGUGCUUGAUAAGGAUGAUUCCAGCAAAAAAAUGAGGAAGGUAGCAAUCGUGCACGAUAAGAAGUCAGGAAGAGUGAUGGAGCUGUUGGCAGAUCAACCUGGUGUGCAAUAUUACACUGGUGGCCAAAUUAAGGAAGUGAGGGGGAAAGGUGGCUUCGUGUAUAAGAAACAUGCAGGGCUGUGUCUGGAGACUCAAGCCUUCCCCGAUUCAGUAAAUCACCCUAAUUUUCCUAAUACCAUUGUGUAUCCUGGAGAGAAAUACAAGCAUCAUAUGCUGUAUAAAUUUUCCACCAAGUCAUAGAUGAUGUUUCAUAAUCAAGCCUUUCAUUGCCAAACCGGGAUGUCACCUGUUUUGUGUUGCUAUCCACAAUAGGUUAAUACUUUAUUCUUAAUGGUCUACAAUUUCAGAUUCUGUAAAAAGACAAAAUCAAGCUCCAAAUUAAAAUAAUCAAUAAAUUUAUGGCAAGGGAUUCUAAGCUCUUGUUGCCAUCAACAUUUGUUCUAGUUUCCUUUUACCAUAUCAUUCACUCGUUUUCUGUCCUUCCUGAGCUCUCUUUCCUGAAUUUUCCAGCUGUAACCUUACAGCGCACCAAAUUUUUCGUCACCUGAAACGAAAAAGUAGCUGUAUUAUAUAAGACUGAGCGCAUUUUUCCAAAACAGAUUCUUUCAAUUUGUAGGUGCACGAUGCUAAUUGCAUGCAAUACUUAAUAUAAGUCAUUACUUUCAUGGUUGAAUCGAGAGGAAAAAGAAAAAGUCAACUGAUCCCGUAAUCAUAUUUGCCUGCCUAACACGAUCAAUAAUAAUUCUGUCCUGUCAUAUGAAUGGAAGUUUGACCAUGUGACCACUUGACAUAAGCUUUGGACGGUCGAUUUUAUCGAUAAUCCUUAUGAGUUUUACAUAUUCUCAUAAUCCAAUCAAGUUGCAUACAUAAAACAAUUGUAGAUUCCAUAUUAAAACAGCACGAGGGUCCAUGAAAUGGACAAGGAGGAACCUUGACAUAAUGCGCUGCCUUUAUCAAGUCUUAACAAUCGAUCGGCUAAAAGCAUAAUAAAAUGUCUAGAAAAAGACUAAAUUGCCGCAUGUGCAAUGAUUUUUAGGCAACUCUCUUUCUCUCUCUCUCCCCAAAAGUCUUUCCUUUGCUAUAUAUACAAGAUCGUAGUCAGCAGCCCAUGUGAGAAGACCAAAGUGGUUUCAUCUUUUUGUGUAAGGAAAAUAAAAAAUGAGGAGUUCUCUGGUGCUGUGUUUUGUCGUGUUAGUUGCUUUUGGGUUUGUUGUUCAUGGUUCUGUAGCUAGUAAUGCCGUUGGAGUUUAUGAUCUCAAGAAGGGAAAUUUCUCUGUGAAGCUCACUAACUGGGGUGCCACUCUUAUUUCUGUUGUUCUUCCCGACAAGAAUGGUAUGUCUCUUCACUGUCUCUCUGUUUUUGACAUUUAAAUUCUGAUGAAUUAUUUGCUUUUGGCUGUGAAUCUUGUCUUAUCCAUUGCUUUUGUAUUGAUCAUUCAGGAAAGCUGAUUGAUGUUGCCCUUGGAUAUGAUUCAGUCAAUGACUACAAGGUGAUUUUUUCUCUUUUAAGUUUGUUUUUUUUUCUUCGUUGUUUUUGUUGCUUGUGAAAGGAAAUAAAUAUUGCCUGCUCUCUUUCUUACUUCUUUCUCACACACAAAAAGCUGCUGGUAUACAAUACUCCACCCGUGUAAUUGUAAUCUCCAGGCAGCCACACAACAUAUCAAACAGGUCCCAUCAGCUAUUGUAGCUGAGCAUUGGGUUUAUCAACCUAUUGUUUUAUUCAAAUAGUGUUCUGAACUCUGCAUUUGUAUCUUCUACAGUAGAAGUUCUACUGUUUUUUUGGGGGUAAGAUUGAUUUGGGUUUUUUUUGUAUCUGCUGUGUUUCAGCAUAAUUUUGAGAGCACAACAGCUGAAGUGUGACACCGUUAGUAAUAAAAAGUUGCAUCACAUCAAUCUCAAAACAAAACCUCAAUUAGAUGAUAUGGCAGAAUCAACAUUAGUAAAAGUCGGAUUUUUAAUUUUUAACAUGGUGUUUUUAUUUUUUAAUUUUUAAAUAAAAGACAGGUUGUUGGGGAAACCCAAUUAGCAAUUACGGAUGUGUUUAGAAGUGAGGUGCUGUAAUUUUUAAACUGUAGUUGCUGUGUAAUAAAAACUACAGUUGUAGAGUUAAAGUUAAGAAAAAAAAUUUGUUAAAUUAUCAAAACUCAACUACAAGUAUUACCAAAUACCUUAAUAACUGAGCUUUAACAGUUCAGCUACCUCACCACACUCCCAAACAGGCUAUAAAUCAUAUAAUAUACUUCGUUAAAAGGCUCUUUUAUUUAUGUGAACCGGCUCCAUAUAAAGCUUUUUUCAAAGGUAGAAUGGUAGUUCUGAGGGCAAGUACAGCUAAGAAAAGGGGAAAAAAAGCUAAUUUUAUUAACUUUUCUGUGAAGACUUUCAAAAAUGUAGCACAGUCUUUUAGGCCGACAAUUAGUAAUAGUUGGUCAAUUGUAUUAGCCAAAGUCCUUAGUUUUGGAAUUAGUGAUUCAAUUGCUUGAAGAUAUACAUGUGGCUUACAAGUUGGCCAUUUAAAAACUGAUUGAUCACGAUAGGCAAUAAGCUGAAGAGAUGGUGAUCUAGAGCCUUGUGUUGCCUUUUACAUUUCUUCUCAUUGACUUGAAAUGUCAAAUGUUGGCUUUGAAAUUUUCAAUUAUUUAAUGCGAUAUAUGAUUCAUCAUAACCUUAAACUUUCUUAAUAUAAUAUAUGAAUGCCACGUGAUAUGGAAACGCUUACCUGUUUGAAUCUUUCUUAAUGUCACUCAGAGACAGCUGGCUAUCGUGAAAAAUAUUGCAUUAUUGACUAACAAAUGGUCUACAUUGGCUGGCUAGUUCAGUGAAAUGUUCUCCUAUCUCUUGCUUUAUGGUUAAGUUUAUUCUUAGAAAAUUUUACCUAUCAAUCCAAGAGAAGAUAGAGUUUUCUUCAUCUCCUGGUUUUAUUGGGACUAAGACCAUGGCUGCUGUCAAAUUGUUUGAUUAAAAAGGUUCAUCCGUCAGAUGUGGCAUCUGUUGUUCCUGCACAUUGUCUAGCACUUGACUUUGCAGCAUACAAGAAGUUUUACUAUCUUUUCAAUGUUUUACAAAGAAAAUUUUGCACGUUCAUGUAGAAUGAUUCAUCUUACAUUGGAGCAACUGUUGGACGGGUUGCUAAUAGAAUCGGAGGUGCCCAAUUUACCUUGGACGGAAUCCAUUAUAAGCUAGUUGCCAAUGAAGGCAAAAACAUGCUUCACGGUACAAUUCUGCUUCUUUCAAGUAUUUUCUCAUUAAAAAAUGACAAAAUUGGAAAAAAAAAAUCAUUCAAUUGAAUUCCUCAUAUGAAUAUUAGGUGGCAAAAUAGGCUUUAGUGAUGUUGUUUGGAAAGUCGAGAAGUAUCAGAAUGAAGGCCAUGCUCCUCACAUUAUCUUUGCCUACCGCAGCUAUGAUGGCGAACAAGGUUGGUAUACGUAUAUUUUUUUCAUUUCUUUUAUCAUUACCUUUCAUCUUGGUGUAUGAUUUGUUGUUAACGUUCAUAUUUCUCCAAUCUUUCACAGGAUUCCCUGGGGAUCUCUCUGUCACUGUGGGCUACACUCUUGUUGGAGACAAGCAGCUGAGAGUAACAAUGAAAGCCAAAGCUCUAAACAAAGCUACUCCGGUAAAUCUAGCACAACACACAUACUGGAAUCUAGGUGGACACAACAGUGGUGAUAUCCUGUCCGAAGAAAUCCAGAUUUUUGCUUCUUACUUCACUCCAGUAGAUAGCCAAUUGAUUCCCACCGGACACAUUGUGUCUGUGAAAGGAACUCCCUAUGAUUUCCUCAAGCCUCACAUCGUUGGCAGCAGAAUCGACAAGCUUCCUCAUGGUUAUGACAUUAACUAUGUGCUUGAAGCCGGCUCUGGAAACAAAAUGAAGAAGGUAGCAGUUGUACACGAUAAGAAAUCCGGAAUAGUGAUGAAGCUGACGACGAAUCAACCUGGUGUGCAGUUUUACACGGCUAACUCUUUGAAGAAUGUGAAGGGAAAAGGUGGUUUUGUGUAUCAACCUCAUGCGGCACUUUGCCUUGAGACUCAAGCUUUCCCUGAUUCAGUGAAUCACCCCAACUUUCCUUCAACUAUAGUAAAUCCAGGGGAGACUUACAAGCAUCAUAUGGUGUUUAAGUUUUCAACUUCUGCUCCACAUUAUUAGUCGUUGAAGAUGUUUCAGUAGCAAGUCUUGUUAUGACAAAUAAAAGGUGUACCAUUGACAGUAUGAGGGACAACAGUUCUUCAAUGUUCGUUAUUUGAACAAGGCUUGAACAAUAAAAAUAAAUUUACAGAUGGGAAAAUUGAGCACCUAUAACAUUAUUAUUGUUCAUAUCUGUUCUGUUUUCUCUUUGCAGUAAUCCAUCAUAGGCUGCUUUCCAAGUUGGUCAUUUUCGCUUUUGUUAGAACAUUUGCAUUGGUUAUUAGUCGAUCAUCACUAUUUCAUUUCACCCUGUUAAACAAAUUCACAAGCUGAUUAGGUUGAUCCAUAUCAAUUGGUUCUUACCACGUCCACCCAGUUGAUAGUUUGUGAUUGUUUGGGGUUUAGAUUACCCAAGUACUGCAGAGUUUUAAGUGGAUCCAAAUAUUUGUAGCCCAACCGUGACAAAUAUAUAAUACUAAGUACAUCCACCAAAUCCAAUCUUCGUACGAAUUGAUGGACAAGACCAAAAAUUUAACGAAGCCCACUUGAGAGGAUCCCAAAUCCAAAUCUUUCCACAAUUACAUCGACAGCAAGUUGCAGAAGUCAAAGACAUGGCUCUGCUGCUGUCGUCUUCAUUUGUAAGCUCCACACAGCUUCCUUUCUCCACUUUCAACACAGGUUCUUUCAAUUUAUACACGCACGUAUGUCCCUUUUACAAUAAUGCCCACCCGCCGUGCACAGUAAAAUUAUAAACUUGCAAUACUGAUUCUUGUUACUGAUUUUGCAGAUAAAUGGAAUACUGGCAGAGUUAACAAAAACAGUUACUGUUUUACAAUGUGUUCUGUUUCUAACUCAUCAUCUUCUAAACCGAAGAGGGUGUGGAUAUGGACGGAGAGCAAGCAAGUGAUGACUGCUGCAGUUGAGAGAGGAUGGAACACUUUUGUUUUCUUGUCUGAAAAUCAACAACUUGCAAUAGAUUGGUCAAGUUAAGUGAAUUCCCAUUUUAGAAUUUGUUCUAAUUAAUAAAAAAACAAACGAAAGUUUUAAUUUUUAAUUUUUUAAAUGUGGAAUUUGUGUGCUUAUACAGCAAUUGCGUUGUUAGAUCCUCUGUUCAUUAAAGAGGGUGAGGUUUAUGAUAGUGGAGACAGAAGGGUUGGCUCCAUUAUUGAGGUUUCAACUCCACAAGAGUUACAGCAGCUUCAACCGGCAGAUGGGCAAGCCGAAAAUAUUGUCAUUGAUUUGCCGGACUGGCAGGUAUGCUAAUUUUCUUGUUUGUUUUGUAUUGGUUAAAUCAAUUUGAUGUGAGACAAUUAGAUUUUAGAUUAUGAUAUUGAGGUUGGAUGAGGAGUGUUGACAAUGAGAUCACUAUGCAUUACAUCACUGGGAUUUAGGCCCUUUUGUAGAGGUUUCCUGCUCAGUUGGGACCUGGUUUUGUGCUUGUUAGGUUAUACCUGCUGAAAAUAUUGUUGCAUCAUUUCAAGGCAGUGGCAAAACAGUGUUUGCCAUCUCAAAGACUCCUUCUGAAGCACAAAUUUUUCUUGAGGUACCUCUUUAUAAUCUCCAUUCAACCAGAAAAUGAAAUUUUGGUUUCAAACUCAAUAGUUUUUUAAUUCAUCAAUCAUUUGUGUAUCCAGGCCUUGGAGCAAGGUCUGGGUGGAAUCGUUCUGAAAGUUGAGGAUGUUAAAGCUGUUCUUGCGCUCAAGGUAAUUUGUUUUUGGGCUGGACUUCCUGGGCAGUGAGGCAUUGGCCCUUACCCUUUUUACAAUUAUCAGGAAUAUUUUGAUGGAAGAAAUGAAGUAAGCAAUCUCCUUAGCUUGAUGAAAGCCACUGUAACUCGAGUUGAUGUAGCUGGAAUGGGUGACCGAGUUUGUGUGGACCUUUGUAGCCUUAUGAGACCUGGUGAAGGACUCCUAGUACACUUCUAGCCUCUCUUCUGCAAUUCUGUGGCUGUUGUUGUCUAUUCUUUAUCUGAUUGUACAAGUAUUGUUUUAUAGGUUGGAUCCUUUGCUAGAGGACUAUUCCUCGUUCAUUCAGAAUGCUUGGAGUCAAAUUACAUUGCCAGCAGGCCUUUUCGAGUUAAUGCGGUUAGUUUUAAUGCUCUUAGUUUUGCAUAAUUAUUGUGACAGAUGAAUGGUCAUCUCAUGCUACUUACAGUAAUUGUAUUGGUAGUUUUCAAUUUUCCCUUUUUUAUUCGGGAAGUGGAGACAUAUGACGGUACACAAGCAGCUUUUUAUAUUAGGAGAAUAUAUAGGAAUACUUUUCUUCUAUAUGAAUAAUAAGAAGCAUCUUUUGAGGGGAAAAAGAAAAACUUAUUGUUUUUACAUGAACACUAUGGUAGUUUCUGUGACCAGUGGUUUUUGUUAUUCUGUGCUACAUUUAUCCAACUUUUAUCACCUAUUUACUUUGGUAAUUGGCAGGGGCCAGUGCAUGCCUAUGUACUUGUCCCAGGAGGAAAGACUUGCUAUCUUUCAGAGUUGAAAUCAGGCAAAGAGGUGAUUGUGGUUGAUCAAAAAGGGCGGCAGCGAACGGCAGUAGUUGGCCGUGUGAAGAUAGAGUCUAGACCUCUUAUACUUGUAGAGGCAAAGGUUUGUCUUGCAUACCAUUGUUAAAUAAGUUUUAGUAAGGUCUUAAGCAAAUUUAUCUGUGGGUCAAGUUCUAAGUGUGCAAUCAGUUAUCACACCGAACUUUUUCAAUUUGACAAAUCCAUUGAAAUCUCUAAUAGGCACUUGCUCUAGCGGGGCAUAGCGAGCCAUCUCUUUUUCUCUGGUUUCUAGUCUGCACGAGCUCAUCUCUAAUUCCUUCCAGCAUUGCAGUCAAUGGAUAAAUUUUUAUUUUUAUUUUUUUAAUAUCACGGAAUAAUUCUGCUGAUGCAGACUAAUUCAGGUGAUCAAACUCUUUACGGCAUCAUCCUACAGAAUGCAGAAACAGUAGCCUUGGUUAGUCCCUGCAAAGGUAUACCAUUUAUUCUAGUUGUCAUUUUUGGCUUCUGGAAGUUCUGGGUUUAGUCUUUGUUUCCUUCAUCUCAUGAACCUUGCUGACUUAUCUUCUACAGGAACUGGAGAGCAGGAAAAAGCAAUCCCUGUGACAUCACUGAAAGUUGGCGAUGAAGUAUUGCUAAGAGUACAAGGAGCAGCCCGGCAUACUGGAAUAGAAAUUCAAGAAUUCAUUGUUGAGAAUUGAAGGAGAAAGAUGACAUAUUUCUGCAGCGAAAUUUGUUCCAGACAUUUUUGAAUAUGAUGGAAAAGAAGAUUGUUGUCACUUUCAAAGCCUUGAAUCUGCAUCUGAAGGUUACAAACAAAUGGAUGAUUGGAUGUUAUCAUGCAAAUGCAACUGUGAGGACUUUACUUCAUAUUAAGUGAAAUGUGUCUCCAAUCAAUUUUCUACCAUUACUUUUUUAUUCCUUGAAAUGACUUGUGUACCUUGCCCAAGAAUUCGUCUAUAUUGAAGAAUACAUUGGGACUUAUUUGUUCCCUAGAAAUGAGAAAAAAGCUAACUGUUCAUCUUAUUAUACAACAAAUAACCGCAAUGAAUUCGGCACCAUUUAACAAAUUAAACAUCAUAUUAUACGGCCAUACGACAUCCGAAAUUGUUUCAAGAAAACCAAUCUUAAAAGACUCGUAUUCUUGAGAAAAAAUCUUAUUUUCUCCGUUUAUUUUCUGAUCUUAUCAGUUGGAAAAUCAUAAACAAUACGGGUUAUUUCCCUUUUGCACGAAACAGUAUAAUGUGAUCGCAUGAUCUCAUUAUUAAACUCUUAUAUUGACUAUUUGUUUCAUUGGCCGCACUCUUAAUCAUUGAUCGAUUGAUUAGUACAUCUUAUUGAGUCUUGAUCCUGGAUUAUUCUUGUGUUAAUAUUAUAAUGGAUUGAAAUAAAAUCUUUUCAUUUGUUUAACAAAGUCUUGAAGCCUCAUGGGCCAUGAUUUAAUUUCAUUCUCUGUUGAUCAUUAUGCUCAACAAGAUAGUUGAAUAUAGUGGUGUUGACUUGACUUACAAGUCUUCUCAAAGGGGGAAAAAGGAGGAAAAAAAAAAAGGACUUUGAUAAUGGAGGGAAUUGCAGCAGAUGAGUGUUUGUUUGCUUCAGUAGAGAAGGGAGAGGAGCUGUCCGUUGAGUUGAAAUGUUUUAAAAUGAGGAUAGCUUAGUAAUUUUCUAUCAGUCUUUAAAUGGUAUCGAUGAAAAUUUUGGCAAAAACAAAUUUUAGGGUAUUGAGAUAAUUUUUGAAGUAUGGAGGUGUACCGGGCGCAAUUGGCACGGGGAACUUUGGUCUUGGAGAAGUUGAAAUAUUGUCUGUCUCUGAUCCUGAUGCUCUUGCCAAAGCUGGGUCUUAAUCUUGUCUGCUAAAUCAGAAUCCUCUUUCCCCUGGAAACCCAAAAGCUAUUUUCUUGAGGUGAGGCUUUAUUGUUUGUUGCAGGCAUGUCGUGUGUUGCUUGUUUUGGGGCACUGACGUGUAAUUGACUUUUUAUAACGCCGUAUCUUUAUGUCCAAAUUGUGUUGAGAUCAGAUGAUAAGUGUUUCUUUUUACUUUCAGCUUCCCUUGAUGGUUCAGUUCUUUUCUGUAUAUGCAAUAGAAAAUAAACAAAAUUAGCCAAGCUGUACCAAAUGCUUGAUAUAUAUUCGAUUUUUCACUCUCCUCAUAAUUUAGAGGAUUAAGAUAGAAUUUGAGAAUAUAUAUUCUUUUUUCACUUCUCCUUGUUAGGUAGAUGUGAUCAUGAUCUACUUCAGCAGCAUUCUACAUUGCCCAGCCAUGAUACAUCUGCUGUACCGUACAUCCGCCUUGGCCGUACAGCAGAAUGUGUCUCCAAUCAAUUUUCUACCAUUACUUUUUUAUUCCUUGAAAUGACUUGUGUACCUUGCCCAAGAAUUCGUCUAUAUUGAAGAAUACAUUGGGACUUAUUUGUUCCCUAGAAAUGAGAAAAAAGCUAACUGUUCAUCUUAUUAUACAACAAAUAACCGCAAUGAAUUCGGCACCAUUUAACAAAUUAAACAUCAUAUUAUACGGCCAUACGACAUCCGAAAUUGUUUCAAGAAAACCAAUCUUAAAAGACUCGUAUUCUUGAGAAAAA
This 33584-nucleotide long non-coding RNA is filed under the name Citrus sinensis (sweet orange). Its description in RNAcentral is "long non-coding RNA (CSIN_LNC002754)". The record is from RNAcentral. Lineage: Eukaryota; Viridiplantae; Streptophyta; Magnoliopsida; Sapindales; Rutaceae.